CACCCGACUUCUCCUUCAACUUCUUCGUCCCCUCCCCUCUAUCAUCAUCCCCGCCAUUCCACCUAUCAUUCACGCCAUCCUCAACUCUCUCCUUAACCCGCUUUGAUGACGAGUAUUCCUCUAGGUACUUCCCAUUUCCAGAGCCAAACGAGUCUUUAUUGUCCUUAGACUCGAGCUUUCGCUUCUCACCAGAGCCAGACUCCUUGGGAAGUCUAACAGUACUAUCCUCUUUGCUCUUUCUGUCCUUGGAGCU
Molecule: unclassified non-coding RNA, 253 nt
Filed under: Hevea brasiliensis (rubber tree)
Lineage: Eukaryota; Viridiplantae; Streptophyta; Magnoliopsida; Malpighiales; Euphorbiaceae
Source: RNAcentral